Schistosoma rodhaini is the source of this 48-nucleotide non-coding RNA. Lineage: Eukaryota; Metazoa; Platyhelminthes; Trematoda; Strigeidida; Schistosomatidae. The record is from Rfam.
AUCCAGCUGACGAGUCCCAAAUGGGAUGAAACGCGUGUCAGACUGGAU